AUUAGUUGCUAACAGGCAGAGCUGAGCACUCUAAUGGGACUGCCGGUGACAAGCCGGAGGAAGGUGGGAUGACGUCAAAUCAUCAUGCCCUUUAUGACCUGGGCUACACACGUGCUACAAUGGUGGUACAAAGAGAUGCAAUCUCGCAAGAGCAAGCAAACCUCAAAAAGCCAUCCUCAGUUCGGAUUGGAGUCUGCAACUCGACUCCAUGAAGUCGGAAUCGCUAGUAAUCGCGGAUCAGCACGCCGCGGUGAAUACGUUCCCGGGCCUU
This 271-nucleotide ribosomal RNA is filed under the name uncultured Syntrophus sp. RNAcentral's name for it is "partial 16S ribosomal RNA". It matches the Rfam family "Bacterial small subunit ribosomal RNA", at positions 1110 to 1382 of the family's 1533-position model. The record is from RNAcentral. Lineage: Bacteria; Pseudomonadati; Thermodesulfobacteriota; Syntrophia; Syntrophales; Syntrophaceae.